Molecule: unclassified non-coding RNA, 282 nt
Filed under: uncultured fungus
Lineage: Eukaryota; Fungi
Description: partial contains small subunit ribosomal RNA, internal transcribed spacer 1, and 5.8S ribosomal RNA
Rfam family: Eukaryotic small subunit ribosomal RNA (bases 1-73)
Source: RNAcentral
GCAAACUUGGUCAUUUAGAGGAAGUAAAAGUCGUAACAAGGUUUCCGUAGGUGAACCUGCGGAAGGAUCAUUAAAGUGUUUACAUUGACUGUGCGCCUUCGGGCUGCACGUCGAUACACUCCAUUUACACCUGUGCACUUUUCGGUGGAAACACUUCACGGUGUUUUCAUCUGUACCACUACACUUCAUAAAAUAUGUCCUGUAUGUUAUAUUACUUUAUUGUAAUCAAAUACAACUUUCAGCAACGGAUCUCUAGGCUCUUGCAUCGAUGAAGAACGCAGC